GAUGAACGCUAGCGGCAGGCCUAACACAUGCAAGUCGAGGGGUAGAGUUCUUCGGAACUUGAGACCGGCGCACGGGUGCGUAACGCGUAUGCAAUCUACCUUAUACAGGGGAAUAGCCCAGAGAAAUUUGGAUUAAUGCCCCAUAGUGUUAUCGAAUCGCAUGGUUUGAUAACUAAAGUUCCAACGGUAUAAGAUGAGCAUGCGUCCCAUUAGUUAGUUGGUAAGGUAACGGCUUACCAAGACAAUGAUGGGUAGGGGUCCUGAGAGGGAGAUCCCCCACACUGGUACUGAGACACGGCCCAGACUCCUACGGGAGGCAGCAGUGGGGAAUUUUGGACAAUGGGCGCAAGCCUGAUCCAGCAAUGCCGCGUGCAGGAUGAAGGCCCUCGGGUUGUAAACUGCUUUUGUACGGAACGAAAAGGUUUCUAUUAAUACUAGGAGCUCAUGACGGUACCGUAAGAAUAAGCACCGGCUAACUACGUG
RNAcentral lists this ribosomal RNA (483 nucleotides) under uncultured bacterium. Its description in RNAcentral is "bacterial SSU rRNA". It matches the Rfam family "Bacterial small subunit ribosomal RNA", at positions 28 to 507 of the family's 1533-position model. The record is from RNAcentral.